This 253-nucleotide ribosomal RNA is filed under the name uncultured bacterium. RNAcentral's name for it is "partial 16S ribosomal RNA". It matches the Rfam family "Bacterial small subunit ribosomal RNA", at positions 524 to 776 of the family's 1533-position model. The record is from RNAcentral.
UACGUAGGGUGCGAGCGUUAAUCGGAAUUACUGGGCGUAAAGCGUGCGCAGGCGGUUCGUUAAGUUCGAUGUGAAAGCCCCGGGCUCAACCUGGGAAUUGCAUUGGAAACUGGCGGGCUUGAGUGUGGCAGAGGGGGGUGGAAUUCCACGUGUAGCAGUGAAAUGCGUAGAGAUGUGGAGGAACGCCGAUGGCGAAGGCAGCCCCCUGGGCUAACACUGACGCUCAGGCACGAAAGCGUGGGGAGCAAACAGG